GUUAAAUUGACAGAUUAGUGUGUGAGAUUUAGAAUCUCUUUAUGUAAUUUUUAAUUACAUUUAAUA
Molecule: transfer RNA, 66 nt
Filed under: Endelus continentalis
Lineage: Eukaryota; Metazoa; Arthropoda; Insecta; Coleoptera; Buprestidae
Description: tRNA-Leu
Source: RNAcentral